UACGUAGGUGGCAAGCGUUGUCCGGAAUUAUUGGGCGUAAAGCGCGCGCAGGCGGUCCUUUAAGUCUGAUGUGAAAGCCCACGGCUCAACCGUGGAGGGUCAUUGGAAACUGGGGGACUUGAGUACAGAAGAGGAAAGCGGAAUUCCACGUGUAGCGGUGAAAUGCGUAGAGAUGUGGAGGAACACCAGUGGUGAAGGCGGCUUUCUGGUCUGUAACUGACGCUGAGGCGCGAAAGCGUGGGGAGCAAACAGG
This 253-nucleotide ribosomal RNA is filed under the name uncultured bacterium. Its description in RNAcentral is "partial 16S ribosomal RNA". It matches the Rfam family "Bacterial small subunit ribosomal RNA", at positions 524 to 776 of the family's 1533-position model. The record is from RNAcentral.